Molecule: long non-coding RNA, 898 nt
Organism: Culex quinquefasciatus (southern house mosquito)
Lineage: Eukaryota; Metazoa; Arthropoda; Insecta; Diptera; Culicidae
Exons: 2
Source: RefSeq, a predicted model, not a curated record
GACUCGUCCACUUUGUCACCGACCGUGGUAGGAGCGGGAGUGAUUGCUAGUUUAGAGUUUGGAUGGUAAUUAGAGGACGUGACGUUUUGACCAAGUUCAGUGUUAACUUUUUUUCGAAACCCUUUCCCUUAGAUCGUGAGGUGCUACAAAUCACCGACAGAGUAGGCUAGUUAGUUUGGCAAGGUAGAAUCGUGGAUUGUUGGCGAAACAAGUCCAGACUAGUUGGCCAGGUACUCUAUCCGGCGUCUUCGAAAUCUGCUGCUGCGCUACAACCCAUCCGUUUCGAACGUCCGUCGGAGAAACCCGCCGUACCACACCCGGUGGCAAAAAGACCAAGUCAAGUCGCCACGUGCCGGAAGAAGCGUGACGUCACCAACGCGCUUAAGGUCAUCCCGUCGGGUCCAACACGUCCAUCCGGACCACGUGGGAGAUCAUCGAGGAACGACAACUUCCGGAACCGAACCCGGAUCUGCUGAACGACCGUCGGGGAUUCCCGACGCCGCUGCUGUAACAACCAACAACAGGUCAGACCGUGAGUAGUACCAAAAUCCAUGCGCAUGUGAUCACAGCCCCUGAGGGUACCCCAUGAAAAGCGCGCCGCGCCAAAUGAACACGCACACGUAAAGCACGCAGCCCAAAACGUGCACUUGGGCGGAUAGGUAGGGAAAGGGAAGAGAGACAGGUUAGCCGAGACGGCUAAGGCGCCAGUAGGAAGAUGAACACGAAUUUACCGAAGAAGCUUGGAAGCGAGAUGGUCGCAGUUCGAAUCCCGUCGGGAUCAAACCGUUUUUUUGUGAACACCCCCACGAUGUAAAUACACUUCGAUCGAAAUGAACAGUUUUCUGCAGUUUGAGCAAUAAAAAGCGACCAGGAGGUUUUCACUGGGUUUUGGGAUAAA